GGAGUCGGCCGGGCAAUCGCCGCUGCAUCUUGCAGGGGAGGAAAGUCCGGGCUCCGCAGGGCAAGGUGCCAGGUAACGCCUGGGCGGCGUGAGCCGACGGAAAGUGCAACAGAGAACAGACCGCCGAACGCAUCGAGGUCGCUGCAAGGCAUCGCGAUGGCGUGGCAAGGGUGAAACGGUGCGGUAAGAGCGCACCGCGGUUCCGGUAACGGAAACGGCACGGCAAACCCCACCGGGAGCAAGACCAAAUAGGGAAGGGCUCGUCGGCAACGACGGGACGCGUGGCCCACGCGCCUUCCGGGUAGGUCGCUUGAGCGUCGCAGUGAUGCGCUGCCUAGAGGAAUGAUUGUCGGGACGCGCAAGCGUUCGCACAGAACCCGGCUUACAGGCCGACUCCCCUC
This 401-nucleotide RNase P RNA is filed under the name Solimonas terrae. Its description in RNAcentral is "Bacterial RNase P class A". It matches the Rfam family "Bacterial RNase P class A". Rfam says of the family: Ribonuclease P (RNase P) is a ubiquitous endoribonuclease, found in archaea, bacteria and eukarya as well as chloroplasts and mitochondria. Lineage: Bacteria; Pseudomonadati; Pseudomonadota; Gammaproteobacteria; Nevskiales; Nevskiaceae. The record is from Rfam by way of RNAcentral.